This 465-nucleotide ribosomal RNA is filed under the name uncultured bacterium. RNAcentral describes it as "partial 16S ribosomal RNA". It matches the Rfam family "Bacterial small subunit ribosomal RNA", at positions 29 to 523 of the family's 1533-position model. The record is from RNAcentral.
AACGAACGCUGGCGGCAUGCUUAACACAUGCAAGUCGAACGGUAAUAGAUAGUAUUUAUAUUAUUUGUUAUAGUGGCAAACGGGUGAGUAACGCGUGGGAACGUACCCUUCAGUUCUGAAUAACGUUUGGAAACGAACGCUAAUACAGAAUACAUCAGAGAUGAGAAAGAGAGAUUGCUGAAGGAGCGGCCCGCGUUAGAUUAGGUAGUUGGUGGGGUAAGGGCCUACCAAGCCGAUGAUCUAUAGCUGGUCUGAGAGGACGAUCAGCCACACUGGGACUGAGACACGGCCCAGACUUCUACGGAAGGCAGCAGUGGGGAAUAUUGGACAAUGGGGGAAACCCUGAUCCAGCGAUGCCGCGUGAGUGAAGAAGGCCUUCGGGUUGUAAAGCUCUUUUAUAGGUGAAGAUGAUGACGGUAACCUAUGAAUAAGCUCCGGCUAACUUCGUGCCAGCAGCCGCAGUAA